GGAUAACACUGUUUUGCUAUUUCGACUAAUAACACAAUGAUACGUAAAAUAACUUUUUCACGUAUCAUUGUGUUAUUGGCCGAAAAUAGCAAAAUCGUAAUAUCC
Molecule: microRNA precursor, 105 nt
Organism: Prunus persica (peach)
Lineage: Eukaryota; Viridiplantae; Streptophyta; Magnoliopsida; Rosales; Rosaceae
Rfam family: MIR6274 microRNA precursor family
Source: Rfam